This 305-nucleotide ribosomal RNA is filed under the name uncultured bacterium. Its description in RNAcentral is "bacterial SSU rRNA". It matches the Rfam family "Bacterial small subunit ribosomal RNA", at positions 334 to 655 of the family's 1533-position model. The record is from RNAcentral.
UGCCCCUACGGGAGGCAGCAGUGGGGAAUAUUGCACAAUGGGGGAAACCCUGAUGCAGCGACGCCGCGUGAGUGAAGAAGUAUUUCGGUAUGUAAAGCUCUAUCAGCAGGAACGAGACAAGACGGUACCUGACUAAGAAGCCCCGGCUAACUACGUGCCAGCAGCCGCGGUAAUACGUAGGGGGCAAGCGUUAUCCGGAUUUACUGGGUGUAAAGGGGGCGCAGACGGCGAUGCAAGCCAGGAGUGAAAGCCCGGGGCCCAACCCCGGGACUGCUCUUGGAACUGCGUGGCUGGAGGGCAGGAGG